GGGCUAAGUCUGUUGGAAAACAGCAUCAUGGACGGUGACAAUCCGGUUCUUGCCUGGGGUCCCGCGGCGUACGAGCCGUUUCCGACGAGUCGUGUUGCUUGGGAUUGCAGCACUAAGUGGGUGGUAAAUUCCAUCUAAAGCUAAAUACGGGCAAGAGACCGAUAGCGAACAAGUACCGUGAGGGAAAGAUGAAAAGACUUUUGAAAAGAGAGUAAAAUAGUACCUGAAACUGCUGAAAGGGAAGCGAUUGAAGUCAGUGUUGCUCCUGGUCU
Molecule: ribosomal RNA, 272 nt
Filed under: Karenia brevis
Lineage: Eukaryota; Dinophyceae; Gymnodiniales; Kareniaceae
Description: partial Eukaryotic large subunit ribosomal RNA
Rfam family: Eukaryotic large subunit ribosomal RNA
Source: RNAcentral